Molecule: long non-coding RNA, 1415 nt
Filed under: Pogona vitticeps (central bearded dragon)
Lineage: Eukaryota; Metazoa; Chordata; Lepidosauria; Squamata; Agamidae
Description: lncRNA (ENSPVIG00000011237.1)
Source: RNAcentral
AUGAACCCCUAGAAUGUAUUUAUGUGGCGGAGUGGGGAAGGGGGAAAGAGAGAAUACAAAGAAACAAUGGUUCCUUUCGGGUUUGGCAGGGUAGGCGUUCUCCAGAGUUGUUUUAAAUUGCAGGGGAGAUGGCGGAAAUAAAUUGCUGCUUUAAAACAAGGGAUCGCCGUAGCUUGGAACUGUUUUAUGGCUCGGGAGGGGAGGAGAGGGAGGGGAACUUGACAUAGCGGGAUCUACUUGUAGAUUAGACGGCAUAAAUUAACCUAUAAAUCUUUUUUAUACAUCUCUCUCCCCACCCCACCCCACGCCGCCUCUGUUGCGUCGAGAACUUCUGCGUGUCGGCUGCGGAAAUAAUAUAUGGGGACACAAGGAAGAGUCAGGGCUGGUUACAUAGUGGGCGCACCUCCUUCCGUCUCCUGACCACCCUUUUUCCAGAGCCGUGCUCAAUGGCUUCGCCAAUUCCUCCUUGAAGAUAGGUUUUAAACAAACCAACAUGCAAAACCUUAAAUCCACGUAGGUUGACUCAAGAAAGAAAGAAAGAAAGAAAGAAGAAAGAAAGAAAGAAAGAAAGAAAGAAAGAAAGAAAGAAAGAAAGAAAGAAAGAAAGAAAGAAAGAAAGAAAGAAAGAAAGAAAGAAAGAAAGAAAAGCCUCCGCCGGGUGUGCUUAACACCCCCGAUGUGGCUUAUGCCCGGAACAAAUAUAGUCAUCUUUACGCUUCUGUGGGUCUUCCUCUCUCAAUCCCUCUUCUCGGGCGCGAUCCGGAGCGAAUAAAGCUCCUGUUAAAGUCCCCUCGGUGUCAACGAGAAAGCACCUGCUUAACUCUCUCUACGGCUGAAAUCCCUGGGAAGCCAACACGCUUCCCUUCCCCCUGCUGGAUCGGGCCCCAGCCUUAUUUAGAUGGGGUUCAGAGAGACUUCCACCCAGACGUUGAGGGAAUUUUCGCUCUUGAUGAUCCGGCACCUUGAUGGCUAACUUGCUUGCAACAAUCCAAGCGAUGUUCUUCACCCUCCUCUAGAUCACUCUUUAUGGGUCCAUCUUCACACGGUCGCAUGUAACCGAAACAAGUACGUAAGCCCCUUUCCCCUUGAUUCUCACCAGGCCUCUAAACAUUCCCCACGUUUAUACGAUAUAUUUAGGUUCUGGACAGAUCCCAACAACCAUAUUUACAGGCACGCACAUCGCUCCCUACACAAAAUGCUGGCUCCUUCAGUUCCUCUAUAGAAUUAUCCUCCAGGGUCGACGCUCCUGCCACCAGUCUCAGGAAGGAUAUUUUUAAAAUCAAGUCCACAAAUUAAAUGAUUUGAUCGGGAAGGCAGAACACACAAUCAUGUGUCUGUAUUUUAAUUUCAGUGGGCUGCACGGCUAUAAAGUGGCUCAAAGGCGAGCAGACAGACAGGCGGACGGAUAUAUAUAU